AUAAUUGAUCUGCGCUGACAUGAAAAUUGUCCUAAUGUCUUCAUGCGUCAUUUUAUUUGUACGGACCUUAUUUGCAAGGAAAUUGAAUGAAGAAAAGCUACGGGAAAAGGAAGAAAUGGAAAAUAGUCAUUUCAUCGAAUAUGCCGCCAAUGUGAUGUCUACCUUGAAAAAAGAUCACAAUUUUUAUGAAAUAGAAGACAAGAUGAGAAAUCCAAAAUCGACAGUGCGCACCUCAUUGAACAUGUUAGUAGCUAUGUCAAAUGACACUCUUACCAAAUUGAACAGAAUUAAAUCGAAGGAAGCUCGAAGGUAUUUAAAAGAGUGCUCACUUCAAAAGAGUGGAGCGAAACCAGAUUACAUGAGUAUCGAUGAACCUGAGAAGUUCAACGCCAUUGAUUUACAUUUAUUAAUUACAAAAAUGAAACAACUGAGACCACUUUUGGACAAAAUUGUAUAAGGUCGCUGUAUUCUAGGGAGCCAACAUUUAUAGUUACUAAUAAGUUGCCUAGAUGUUACUUUUGUAUAAUUUUUAAUGACGUACAUUUUGUAUAGAAAUUCAGUAAAUAGUAUUAUAUUUCAGUAAAAAAGUAACCUAGGAGAAAAUUAUUCAACUUCGAGUAAGAAUUAACAUGAUAUAAGCGUAUGUUUUUCAUGUUUAAGUUUCAAAAGGCUGCAACAACUAAUAAUGUUCAUUGAAUACGAGAUUAUGUAAUGUACUAACUUUUUUCCUUCCUUAAAAAAUGCCUGAAGAGGAUUUCCGAUAUAAAAAUUUUUGUACGUUGAAUUCACCCUCUUUCAAAAAAGUGUUUCUUACGAUCAGAUCAUGAUUGAUUUUACAUAUUUUAACAUUCAAUACUCCUAGGAAAUUGCACAGAGGAUGCGUGGAUAAGAAUUAUGUCCAAGAAUUAUCAUUUGCAAGUAGAAAUUAACUUAAUUAACGAGGUUUAUGAUUGUAUGAAGGACCGAAUUAUCUGGAAAAUGCAUCUAAUGCAUAUUUAAGAUUUGAGGUGAUUCGAUGGACGCCAUAUUUUGUGUCAGAUCGAACGGCAUGCGAUAUAUCGCAUCAAUUGGUUCCAUUUUUUCAGCUACUCGUCAUUUUUCUCCAAUUUUGAGAUCACAAUUCUGUUGUCAGGAGACUAAAGCACUCACUUACCAAUUUUAACAAAGAAAUUCAACGUAAUAAAGGAGAGGUUAUUUUAGAGAGAAAACAUCGCAUUCGAGUGCAGUUUCGAUAUCAUUAUCGAAUGCGAUGUUUUCUCUCUAAAAAUACCACGCCUUUAUUACGUUGAAUUUCUUUGUUGAAAUUGGUAAGUGAGUGCUUUACCUAGUCUCCUGACAACAGAAUUGCGAUCUCAAAAUUGGAGAAAAUUUAUGAGUACCUAGCUGAAAAAAUGGAACCAAUUGAUGCAAUAUAUCGCAUGCCGUUCUGACACAAAAUAUGGCGUCCAUCGAAUCACCUUCCGGUUUGAAAUCCUAUGUUGGACUUGUCUCUAAUAUAUGGAACACCCAAAAAUGGAAAGGGUCUCCUCUAAUAUUGUGUAAUUUGUAACGCAAGACAGCUUUUCACUAUUCAAGCAAUUUUUAUCGAAAAUUUAUAAAUGUGUGUAUUAGAAAAAUGAACUGCGGUUGAUAUAGGUAAAUACAAGUAUUUGGAAACAGUGCGCGUGACAGUGUAAACAACUGACGAUUACGUAACCACUCAAAUUAGUGUAUCAUUUGAGCAUUGUUAAAAUGCCAUUGAAAAAGCUUCACCGAGAACUUGAUUUUUAGAGAAUGGCUCUAUUUUAAGUCUGUGCCAUUGGAUUUUAGUUGUUUACUCAGGCGAUCAUCAGACCUGCGAAUAACCAUUCACUUCGUGCAAAUAUCGAAUCAUUUCCCCCUCUAUCUUUCGCUCAGAGUGAGGUAAGUUUACUCAAUUUCACUUCAAGUUCAACUUUGUUAAGGAAGUCAAUGGAUUUCUAUGAUGUAUGAGUUUAAAGUGGAAUGACAUUUUAAAAGCUUAAUUGGCUCACCUACAGCUUUACGGAAGUCUAUAUAUCAAAUUGCCCCUUGUUCGACCUCUGGAAAAGUGUCACCAAGUGCAAAGCAUUUGGAUGAACCAAAAAUCAUUGAGGGUGGACCAGAAACAUAGUAUAUUUCAGCUAGUUUCGCAGUUCAGUGGCUCGCAUCCACUGAAGUGGGUUCUUGACUUAUAACCUAUCUAUGAAGACCCACUUUUAGGACCAAAUGAGUAGGUAUUCUGUCUCUAAAUAUAACUGUGUAGGUACAUACAUCGGCUACAAGAAUGAUUAGUUGCCGUGCAUGUGAAUGAAUAUUGUCGGAGUGAAUCUACCCGAAACCAAAACAACAACAAAAUCAUUAAUCGAAGAAUGUUUGUGUUCAAUGUGAACAUUUGUUCCACUUCCAAUUUUUAGCAAAAAAAGGACAAUUUUGUGCAAGAAGCACGUUUCAGUUGUUUACUUCUGGCAAGUCUCUUGAAAAAGCCUCGACUAUUCGAACGCAGAAAACUUCGAUUUGAUUAAUCGAAUGCGAUAUUUCAAGUUGGAACACUGCUGACUUUAACGUGAGGGUUUAUCGAGUAUUUAACGAGAGCAGAGUUGAAAUCAUUGCUCACAAAAUGGUUACAAUUUUUGCUAAAAACAAGUAGCAAAACUAGUGUUUUAUCAGUUGCUGAGUGCCCGUUUACUUCCCUUACAUCACGUUGUUACGUUGUUCAGUUACAUCUGAAACAUAAGUGCCUAUAAUGCAGAUACACUUAUUUUAAGAGUUUUUAAGAAGCGCAUGACAUGGCGCAACGCCGCGCGCCGUAAUGACAGGGACACAUUUUUUUCGAAUUUCUUGCUUUAGGUAGAACACAUUUGUUCAUUAUGUAACACUCAAAUGAUGAAAAUUAUCGACUAAUCUUGAUUUCAAUUUAUUUUUGGUUGUA
This 2929-nucleotide long non-coding RNA is filed under the name Bemisia tabaci. RNAcentral describes it as "lncRNA ENSASIAIIG004806". The record is from RNAcentral. Lineage: Eukaryota; Metazoa; Arthropoda; Insecta; Hemiptera; Aleyrodidae.